UUAGAGUUUGAAUCCUGGCUCAUGAUUGAACGCUGGCGGCAGGCCUAACACAUGCAAGUCGAGCGGAUGAAGGGAGCUUGCUCCUGGAUUCAGCGGCGGACGGGUGAGUAAUGCCUAGGAAUCUGCCUGGUAGUGGGGGAUAACGUCCGGAAACGGGCGCUAAUACCGCAUACGUCCUGAGGGAGAAAGUGGGGGAUCUUCGGACCUCACGCUAUCAGAUGAGCCUAGGUCGGAUUAGCUAGUUGGUGGGGUAAAGGCCUACCAAGGCGACGAUCCGUAACUGGUCUGAGAGGAUGAUCAGUCACACUGGAACUGAGACACGGUCCAGACUCCUACGGGAGGCAGCAGUGGGGAAUAUUGGACAAUGGGCGAAAGCCUGAUCCAGCCAUGCCGCGUGUGUGAAGAAGGUCUUCGGAUUGUAAAGCACUUUAAGUUGGGAGGAAGGGCAGUAAGUUAAUACCUUGCUGUUUGACGU
Molecule: ribosomal RNA, 475 nt
Filed under: Pseudomonas aeruginosa
Lineage: Bacteria; Pseudomonadati; Pseudomonadota; Gammaproteobacteria; Pseudomonadales; Pseudomonadaceae
Description: bacterial SSU rRNA
Rfam family: Bacterial small subunit ribosomal RNA
Source: RNAcentral